GGACAUGAGGGCAAUCUGGCUGCAACAUCUGUCACCCCACUGAUCGCCAGGGUUGAUUCAGCUGAUCUGGCUGGUUAGGCAGGUGACCCCUUCCCCUCUCAAUGCUCCAUGUGCGUCCCUCCCGAAGCUGCACACUCCAUCAAAGAGGAUGACCACCCCGGAUAGAGGAGGACCAUUCCUUGGUCAAGGGAAUACGAGUAGCUGCGCUCCCCUGCUAGAAGCUCAAAACAAGCUCUGAAGGUCCAAAAGCCUUCAAAUCAUGUGUGGAAUAUAUAAUAAAAGCAAGAAGCAGCUAGAGUUAUCAAAAAAUUUGCUAGCAUAUUUU
RNAcentral lists this small nuclear RNA (325 nucleotides) under Chinchilla lanigera (long-tailed chinchilla). Its description in RNAcentral is "7SK RNA (ENSCLAG00000021628.1)". It matches the Rfam family "7SK RNA". Rfam says of the family: 7SK was discovered as an abundant small nuclear RNA in the mid-70s but a possible function has only recently been suggested. Two independent studies have found that 7SK RNA binds the CDK9/cyclin T complex (known as elongation factor P-TEFb). Lineage: Eukaryota; Metazoa; Chordata; Mammalia; Rodentia; Chinchillidae. The record is from Rfam by way of RNAcentral.